Molecule: unclassified non-coding RNA, 138 nt
Filed under: soil metagenome
Description: partial internal transcribed spacer 1
Source: RNAcentral
CUGAGUACUACACUCUCUACCCUUUGUGAACUAUUAUACCUGUUGCUUCGGCGGCGCCCGCAAGGGUGCCCGCCGGUCUCAUCAGAAUCUCUGUUUUCGAACCCGACGAUACUUCUGAGUGUUCUCAGCGAACUGUCA